RNAcentral lists this ribosomal RNA (255 nucleotides) under uncultured bacterium. RNAcentral describes it as "partial 16S ribosomal RNA". It matches the Rfam family "Bacterial small subunit ribosomal RNA", at positions 524 to 776 of the family's 1533-position model. The record is from RNAcentral.
UACAGAGGGUGCAAGCGUUGUUCGGAAUUACUGGGCGUAAAGCGCGUGUAGGCGGCGGCGUAAGUCGAAUGUGAAAGCCCUUGGCUUAACCAAGGAAGUGCAUUCGAUACUGUGUUGCUUGAGUACCGGAGGGGAUGGCGGAAUUCCUGGUGUAGAGGUGAAAUUCGUAGAUAUCAGGAGGAACACCUGUGGCGAAGGCGGCGUCUGGGGAAGAUACUGACGCUGAGGUGCGAAAGCGUGGGGGAGCAAAACAGG